RNAcentral lists this long non-coding RNA (395 nucleotides) under Rhinopithecus bieti (black snub-nosed monkey). RNAcentral describes it as "lncRNA (ENSRBIG00000045446.1)". Lineage: Eukaryota; Metazoa; Chordata; Mammalia; Primates; Cercopithecidae. The record is from RNAcentral.
GGUGCUGACUCUAAGUGUCCUUAGUGUGUAACCUUGGGCAUGGCACUUAACCUCUCUGUAAACUGGAGUUGUUCCCCGAUAGCCCAGGCCUAUGAGCUGACACCCAGAGGAGGUAAAGAACUUGCUGUUCCUGCACAGUGAGGCAAUGGUCAUCAUCCUCUCACCCGCCUCUGACUCUUCCCACAGGAGAGAGCUGGUCGAAUAGUACAAUUUCCCCAUGUGAAUGGGGAGAAGCUAGGGAGAGGAAGAAUGAUCUUCAGUCAGUAAGGGUAAGAGGAGCCACUUUUCCCAUCUGAGUAAAUACCAAGAGAAGAUGAAUGUGAGGCUCUUGGAGAUUAGCUGUCUGCUGGGAGAGAAACACCUUCAUUGAUUAAAUACAAAAUCUGUUCUGGCAA